AGUUUACUAGAGCUAUCAUACAGGUGCUGCACGGCUGUCGUCAGCUCGUGUCGUGAGAUGUUGGGUUAAGUCCCGCAACGAGCGCAACCCUCGUGUUUAGUCACUAACAGUUCGGCUGAGGACUCUAGACAGACUGCCUGGGUAACCAGGAGGAAGGUGAGGACGACGUCAAGUCAUCAUGGCCCUUACGGCCAGGGCUACACACGUGCUACAAUGGGGUAUACAAAGAGCAGCGAUACCGCGAGGUGGAGCAAAUCUCAUAAAAUAUCUCCCAGUUCGGAUAGCAGUCUGCAACUCGACUGCUUGAAGUUGGAAUCGCUAGUAAUCGUAGAUCAGCAAUGCUACGGUGAAUACGUUCCCGGGUCUUGUACUCACCGCCCGUCACACCAUGGGAAUUGAAUUCAUUCGAAGCGGGGAUGCUAAAAUAGCUACCUUCCACAGUGGAUUUAGUAACUAGGGUGAAGUCGUAACAAGGUA
Molecule: ribosomal RNA, 477 nt
Filed under: uncultured bacterium
Lineage: Bacteria
Description: bacterial SSU rRNA
Rfam family: Bacterial small subunit ribosomal RNA
Source: RNAcentral